This 760-nucleotide long non-coding RNA is filed under the name Cicer arietinum (chickpea). Its description in RNAcentral is "long non-coding RNA (CARI_LNC001504)". Lineage: Eukaryota; Viridiplantae; Streptophyta; Magnoliopsida; Fabales; Fabaceae. The record is from RNAcentral.
UUGGAUUGGCUACAUGGAUCAAAUGGCGUCAUAAUCAUGUUCUAAAUAUUUGUUGAUCUGCAAUGGAAAAAUCACACAUAUAGCAGAAUCAUGAGGGAUAUUGAUUUAGGCUUGGUGUAUCGUAAGCAUGGAAUGUUAUGGUUCAGACUUCAGAGUUCAACAUACUUAAGAUACGGUUUUCUUGCUGAUUGGUGAUGUUGAAUUCUGUAAAUCAUCAAAACUAAUCAUACGAAAUUUGGUAUAUUUCUUCCUUGUCAAAGUUUUGAUCUUUCAAGGCCAUCUGUUUUUGCCCUGCUGGUGUGGCUGCAAAGUAAUAUGCCUUAAUGCUGGUCAUAAUCUGGUUGAUGAUCUUCAGGUUUAGGAGCUGAGUUGUAUGCUUAGUGUGAAGUAACUUUCGGGAGUUUUACUGCUGAUGAUCUUCAGGUUUAGGAGCUGAGUUGUAUGCUUAGUGCGAAGUAACUUUCGGGAGUUUUCAGCAGUACUAGUAUAGUUUUUUGGACAUUUUCGGGGGUAUGAUUUGAAUUAUAUAGUUCCAGUUUUGUUAUUUUUGUGGAUGAGAAGCAUAAUAAUCUCUUCUUGCAUAAAACUUUUUUGGGAGCUGUACAUAGGAAUAUCUUGUGUUAGGUUAUGUCCCUUCUAUUCAAAAUUCUUUUUUCCUAUAAAAAUCUCCUGAAUUUCUUCGGCAUGGAGUUGUUUAUGUAUGUUCAUGUGUGUGUAAUGUUUGUGUUAAUUCCGAUGCCAAGUUUAAUAUGAUCGAAAG